RNAcentral lists this ribosomal RNA (437 nucleotides) under uncultured Oscillospiraceae bacterium. RNAcentral's name for it is "partial 16S ribosomal RNA". It matches the Rfam family "Bacterial small subunit ribosomal RNA", at positions 341 to 792 of the family's 1533-position model. The record is from RNAcentral. Lineage: Bacteria; Bacillati; Bacillota; Clostridia; Eubacteriales; Oscillospiraceae.
ACGGAAGGCAGCAGUGGGGAAUAUUGGGCAAUGGGCGAAAGCCUGACCCAGCAACGCCGCGUGAAGGAAGAAGGUCUUCGGAUUGUAAACUUCUUUUAUGAGGGACGAAGGAAUUGACGGUACCUCAUUAAUAAGCCACGGCUAACUACGCGCCAGCAGCCGCGGUAAUACGUAGGUGGCAAGCGUUAUCCGGAUUUACUGGGUGUAAAGGGCGCGUAGGCGGGGAAGCAAGUCAGAUGUGAAAUCCAUGGGCUCAACUCGUGAACUGCAUUUGAAACUGUUUUUCUUGAGUGUCGGAGAGGUAGAUGGAAUUCCUAGUGUAGCGGUGAAAUGCGUAGAUAUUAGGAAGAACACCAGUGGCGAAGGCGAUCUACUGGACGAUAACUGACGCUGAGGCGCGAAAGCGUGGGGAGCAAACAGGAUUAGAUACCCUGGUA